Molecule: unclassified non-coding RNA, 404 nt
Filed under: soil metagenome
Description: partial contains 5.8S ribosomal RNA, internal transcribed spacer 2, and large subunit ribosomal RNA
Rfam family: 5.8S ribosomal RNA (bases 1-121)
Source: RNAcentral
GAUGAAGAACGUAGCGAAAUGCGAUAAGUAGUGUGAAUUGCAGAAUUCAGUGAAUCAUCGAAUCUUUGAACGCACCUUGCGCCCUUUGGCUAUUCCGAAGGGCAUGCCUGUUUGAGUAUCAUGAACACCUCAACUCUCAUGGUUUUUCCAUGAUGGGCUUGGACUUUGGGGGUCUUGCUGGCCUAUAGUCAGCUCCUCUUAAAUGAAUCAGCUUGCCAGUGUUUGGUGGCAUCACAGGUGUGAUAACUAUCUACGCUUGUGGUUUUCCACCAGGGUAACCUUCAGCAGUGGAGGUUCACUGGAGCUUACAAAUGUCUCUCCUCUGUGAGGACAGCCCUUUGAAUGUUUGAUCUCAAAUCAGGUAGGACUACCCGCUGAACUUAAGCAUAUCAAUAAGCGGAGGA